UCAACGCUGUUCACACCUGUCCCCUCUCUCUCUCUCUCUUUCUAUCUUGCUCUCUUGCUUUUAAUUUUUUCCUUAACGACGAAGAAAAGAAAAGCAGAGAAACGGAAGCAAUUUUUAGCAUAAAAAUAAAUACGAUUUCUCUCUCUGACUCUCUCUAGCUUUGAAGAUAAGAGUGUCGCAGCUUCGUCUCUUCUGCGACGUUAGGAGAUCAUUCAUCCGAUGGGUCUUCUCUCCAACAGGUUUCGUCUUCCCCCUCUCUCUUUUGUUUUCCAGAGAACUUGUUUAUCA
Molecule: long non-coding RNA, 288 nt
Filed under: Capsella grandiflora
Lineage: Eukaryota; Viridiplantae; Streptophyta; Magnoliopsida; Brassicales; Brassicaceae
Description: long non-coding RNA (CGRA_LNC000672)
Source: RNAcentral